CAGACUCCUACGGGAGGCAGCAGUGGGGAAUAUUGCACAAUGGGCGCAAGCCUGAUGCAGCCAUGCCGCGUGUGUGAAGAAGGCCUUCGGGUUGUAAAGCACUUUCAGCGGGGAGGAAGGCGGUGAGGUUAAUAACCUCAUCGAUUGACGUUACCCGCAGAAGAAGCACCGGCUAACUCCGUGCCAGCAGCCGCGGUAAUACGGAGGGUGCAAGCGUUAAUCGGAAUUACUGGGCGUAAAGCGCACG
This 247-nucleotide ribosomal RNA is filed under the name Klebsiella pneumoniae. Its description in RNAcentral is "partial 16S ribosomal RNA". It matches the Rfam family "Bacterial small subunit ribosomal RNA", at positions 332 to 571 of the family's 1533-position model. Lineage: Bacteria; Pseudomonadati; Pseudomonadota; Gammaproteobacteria; Enterobacterales; Enterobacteriaceae. The record is from RNAcentral.